GAUGAACGCUGGCGGCGUGCCUAAUACAUGCCAGUCGAGCGAACAGAUGAGGAGCUUGCUCCUCUGACGUUAGCGGCGGACGGGUGAGUAACACGUGGAUAACCUACCUAUAAGACUGGGAUAACUUCGGGAAACCGGAGCUAAUACCGGAUAAUAUAUUGAACCGCAUGGUUCAAUAGUGAAAGACGGUUUUGCUGUCACUUAUAGAUGGAUCCGCGCCGCAUUAGCUAGUUGGUAAGGUAACGGCUUACCAAGGCAACGAUGCGUAGCUGACCUGAGAGGGUGAUCGGCCACACUGGAACUGAGACACGGUCCAGACUCCUACGGGAGGCAGCAGUAGGGAAUCUUCCGCAAUGGGCGAAAGCCUGACGGAGCAACGCCGCGUGAGUGAUGAAGGUCUUCGGAUCGUAAAACUCUGUUAUUAGGGAAGAACAAAUGUGUAAGUAACUAUGCACGUCUUGACGGUACCUAAUCAGAAAGCCACGGCUAGCUACGUG
This 497-nucleotide ribosomal RNA is filed under the name uncultured bacterium. RNAcentral describes it as "partial 16S ribosomal RNA". It matches the Rfam family "Bacterial small subunit ribosomal RNA", at positions 28 to 507 of the family's 1533-position model. The record is from RNAcentral.